CGCUUAUCGGGAGAACGAAGAUGAGGAAGAACGAAUUACUCGUGGUAGAAAUGAAAUACUGAAGCUUCUCCGACAACAAAAUAAUGAAGUCUCCACACGAAAGAAAGGCUACGAUCCUGUACUCGUCCGGUUCUAUGAAGAAAGCGGAAUGACCGAGGCGAGGAAGGAUCACCCGUUGAUACAAGAAGCAGCCAAGGAGAGCGGGAAAACAGUUGACCAAGUCAUGAACUUCAUCGGUAACUACCGUAAGAGUAAAGGCGGCAGUAAGAGGAGACCGCCGCCAGACACGAUGGAGAGGAAGAGGAGGAUCACGGGAUAUCACGAGUACUACAGGGAACAGCUGCCAAGGA
Branchiostoma belcheri (Belcher's lancelet) is the source of this 350-nucleotide long non-coding RNA. RefSeq lists it as uncharacterized. Lineage: Eukaryota; Metazoa; Chordata; Leptocardii; Amphioxiformes; Branchiostomatidae. The record is from RefSeq and is a predicted model, not a curated record. The transcript is spliced from 3 exons.